This 489-nucleotide ribosomal RNA is filed under the name uncultured bacterium. RNAcentral's name for it is "partial 16S ribosomal RNA". It matches the Rfam family "Bacterial small subunit ribosomal RNA", at positions 28 to 505 of the family's 1533-position model. The record is from RNAcentral.
GAUGAACGCUGGCUACAGGCUUAACACAUGCAAGUCGAGGGGAAACGACGGGGAAGCUUGCUUCCCCGGGCGUCGACCGGCGCACGGGUGAGUAACGCGUAUCCAACCUGCCUCUGACUGAGGGAUAACCCGUCGAAAGUCGGCCUAAUACCUCAUGGUAUCGUCUGCGGGCAUCCAACGACGAUUAAAGAUUUCAUCGGUCAGGGAUGGGGAUGCGUCUGAUUAGCUUGUUGGCGGGGUAACGGCCCACCAAGGCUACGAUCAGUAGGGGUUCUGAGAGGAGGGUCCCCCAAUUUGGAACUGGGAACCGGCCCAAACCCCUCGGGGAGGCGGCAGUGGGGAAUAUUGGUCAAUGGGGGAGAGCCGAAACCGGCCAAGUGGCGGGAAGGAAGCGGGCCCUAUGGGUUGUAAACUGUUUUUAUGGGGGGAAAAAGUGGGGGACGUGCCCCUCAUGGCGGGUACCGCAUGAAGAAGGACCGGCUAAUUCCG